This 253-nucleotide ribosomal RNA is filed under the name uncultured bacterium. RNAcentral's name for it is "partial 16S ribosomal RNA". It matches the Rfam family "Bacterial small subunit ribosomal RNA", at positions 524 to 776 of the family's 1533-position model. The record is from RNAcentral.
UACGUAGGGUGCAAGCGUUGUCCGGAAUUAUUGGGCGUAAAGAGCUCGUAGGCGGUUUGUCGCGUCUGCUGUGAAAACUCGGGGCUUAACCCCGGGCCUGCAGUGGGUACGGGCAGACUAGAGUGCGGUAGGGGAGACUGGAAUUCCUGGUGUAGCGGUGAAAUGCGCAGAUAUCAGGAGGAACACCGGUGGCGAAGGCGGUUCUCUGGGCCUUACCUGACGCUGAGGAGCGAAAGCGUGGGGAGCAAACAGG